Chelmon rostratus (copperband butterflyfish) is the source of this 140-nucleotide small nucleolar RNA. RefSeq annotates it as small nucleolar RNA SNORD10. The record is from RefSeq and is a predicted model, not a curated record. The transcript has a single exon. NCBI's taxonomy places the organism in Eukaryota, Metazoa, Chordata, Actinopteri, Chaetodontiformes, Chaetodontidae.
GUAUAAUGAUGAAACCCAUGCGUGUCAGCUGACUCUGUAAACCCCUGCUAUGUUGUUGCUCUGGUUGGCGUUCUGCUAACUUGAGUCAGUGACACAGCAGGGGUCCAGGGACAUGAUCAGAAAUCACUACUUCUGAAUAC